GAGAGAGAUCUGAACAGCAUCUCAGAGAAGAUCUCGAACUCCCUUUUGUUUCUUUACUCUUCUCUAUUUAUUUUUCAUUUUAUUCUAUUGUAGUAUCAUUCAAACCUUCAUACUAUUCCCUAUGAAUAUGUCUGAGUAGUCUCGUUGUUAAAUUUAGGGUUCCUCAAAGGUUUAUAUAUGGUUUGCUAAUAUGAACUGUUGUUAGAAUGAUUUAAUUAGUUGUUCAUCUAGUUGUUCUUACUGCUAAGUCUAGGAUUGAUCAC
RNAcentral lists this long non-coding RNA (263 nucleotides) under Brassica napus (rape). RNAcentral describes it as "long non-coding RNA (BNAP_LNC011238)". Lineage: Eukaryota; Viridiplantae; Streptophyta; Magnoliopsida; Brassicales; Brassicaceae. The record is from RNAcentral.